RNAcentral lists this ribosomal RNA (990 nucleotides) under Microbacterium foliorum. RNAcentral describes it as "bacterial SSU rRNA". It matches the Rfam family "Bacterial small subunit ribosomal RNA", at positions 67 to 1066 of the family's 1533-position model. The record is from RNAcentral. Lineage: Bacteria; Bacillati; Actinomycetota; Actinomycetes; Micrococcales; Microbacteriaceae.
CGGUGAACACGGAGCUUGCUCUGUGGGAUCAGUGGCGAACGGGUGAGUAACACGUGAGCAACCUGCCCCUGACUCUGGGAUAAGCGCUGGAAACGGCGUCUAAUACUGGAUACGAGUAGCGACCGCAUGGUCAGUUACUGGAAAGAUUUAUUGGUUGGGGAUGGGCUCGCGGCCUAUCAGCUUGUUGGUGAGGUAAUGGCUCACCAAGGCGUCGACGGGUAGCCGGCCUGAGAGGGUGACCGGCCACACUGGGACUGAGACACGGCCCAGACUCCUACGGGAGGCAGCAGUGGGGAAUAUUGCACAAUGGGCGCAAGCCUGAUGCAGCAACGCCGCGUGAGGGAUGACGGCCUUCGGGUUGUAAACCUCUUUUAGCAGGGAAGAAGCGAAAGUGACGGUACCUGCAGAAAAAGCGCCGGCUAACUACGUGCCAGCAGCCGCGGUAAUACGUAGGGCGCAAGCGUUAUCCGGAAUUAUUGGGCGUAAAGAGCUCGUAGGCGGUUUGUCGCGUCUGCUGUGAAAUCCGGAGGCUCAACCUCCGGCCUGCAGUGGGUACGGGCAGACUAGAGUGCGGUAGGGGAGAUUGGAAUUCCUGGUGUAGCGGUGGAAUGCGCAGAUAUCAGGAGGAACACCGAUGGCGAAGGCAGAUCUCUGGGCCGUAACUGACGCUGAGGAGCGAAAGGGUGGGGAGCAAACAGGCUUAGAUACCCUGGUAGUCCACCCCGUAAACGUUGGGAACUAGUUGUGGGGUCCAUUCCACGGAUUCCGUGACGCAGCUAACGCAUUAAGUUCCCCGCCUGGGGAGUACGGCCGCAAGGCUAAAACUCAAAGGAAUUGACGGGGACCCGCACAAGCGGCGGAGCAUGCGGAUUAAUUCGAUGCAACGCGAAGAACCUUACCAAGGCUUGACAUAUACGAGAACGGGCCAGAAAUGGUCAACUCUUUGGACACUCGUAAACAGGUGGUGCAUGGUUGUCGUCAGCUCGUGUC